Sinocyclocheilus grahami is the source of this 749-nucleotide long non-coding RNA. RefSeq lists it as uncharacterized. Lineage: Eukaryota; Metazoa; Chordata; Actinopteri; Cypriniformes; Cyprinidae. The record is from RefSeq and is a predicted model, not a curated record. The transcript has 2 exons.
UUUUGAAGGAGAAAUCCCUCCUGCAGAUUUAUACAUUCUGGCCCGGAUCAUUCAUGACUGGAAGGAGGAAAAAAAUCUCAAACUACUGAAGAAGAUUCAUACAGCAUGUCAUCCAGGUGGAGGCGUUCUGAUCGCAGAGGCACUGUUGUUUGAGAACCGCCGUGGUCCAACUAUGGUUCAGAUGUUUUCUCUGAACAUGCUGGUGCAGACAGAAGGGAAAGAGCAUCCACCCUCUCAUUAUACACAUAUGCUCACCGAAGCAGGAUUCAGAGAUGUGCAGGUCUGUCGGACCGGAAAAUCAUACAAUGCUAUUUUGGCACUCAAAUGAAUAUGCACAAGUGUAUUAAUGUAAGCAUUGUCAGUAAUCAGAACCCUUCUGCCUUAUGCCCUUAUCUGCAGACACGUCAGUAAUCAUAUUCAUGCACAUGUCAGACAUCUGUUGUUCCACCUUGGCCUCGUUUUGUAAAGUAAUAAAGCAGUUUUAUUUCUCCAACACAGAGUGAGCCCACUCCUGAUCCUUACGAUUCCUUCAAAAGACCAACUUUAGUACAAAUUAGGUUUAGUUAUUUGUGAGCUUGACUCCUGAGGCCUACCAGAUGUAGUCUGAGAAGGGUGGGAUAAAGAGCUGUUUUGGAUUGGCCGGUGGUGUCAAAAUAAGCUCCUCCCUCUAUCCCGUCUUGUGUAUCUAUGCACUGUCGUCUUGACAUAUGGUUAAGUGUGACCCCUAGUGGUUAUUUGUUGAACUAACA